AUGCACACCUAUGCCACAUCUUCACAUCAGAAUCAAAACAAAAGGAAGCUAUGGUGUUACUUGCAUCUCGGUUUUCACAUUCUUCCCAGGUUUUACAAAAACAUAAACAUGAUUGGAUGGGCGUCCUUGCCGGCGACCUUGCUAUCUCCAACCCAUCCACAGGUUGCUUGGUGUCCUCUCAUCGUGUCUAUUGGUGCAGUAUCACAUAUCCUCUCUCGAAGAGAUGAGAUAAGGAUUACAUGGCUACCAACAACCCACCUCACCUAUAAUGGAAGACAUCCUGAUUCAUUGUUGCAAGCUAGAGAACAAUAA
RNAcentral lists this ribosomal RNA (312 nucleotides) under Triticum aestivum (bread wheat). RNAcentral's name for it is "partial small subunit ribosomal RNA". The record is from RNAcentral. Lineage: Eukaryota; Viridiplantae; Streptophyta; Magnoliopsida; Poales; Poaceae.